CAGUCGCCGCGGUAACACGAAGGGUGCAAGCGUUACUCGGAAUUACUGGGCGUAAAGCGUGCGUAGGUGGUGGUUUAAGUCCGUUGUGAAAGCCCUGGGCUCAACCUGGGAAUUGCAGUGGAUACUGGGUCACUAGAGUGUGGUAGAGGAUAGUGGAAUUUCCGGUGUAGCAGUGAAAUGCGUAGAGAUCGGAAGGAACAUCUGUGGCGAAGGCGACUAUCUGGGCCAACACUGACACUGAGGCACGAAAGCGUGGGGAGCAAACAGGAUUAGAGACCCCUGUAGUCCCUGUCUCUUAUAC
This 301-nucleotide ribosomal RNA is filed under the name uncultured bacterium. RNAcentral describes it as "partial 16S ribosomal RNA". It matches the Rfam family "Bacterial small subunit ribosomal RNA", at positions 509 to 807 of the family's 1533-position model. The record is from RNAcentral.